This 464-nucleotide ribosomal RNA is filed under the name uncultured bacterium. RNAcentral's name for it is "bacterial SSU rRNA". It matches the Rfam family "Bacterial small subunit ribosomal RNA", at positions 28 to 507 of the family's 1533-position model. The record is from RNAcentral.
GAUGAACGUUGGCGGUGUGCCUAAUACAUGCAAGUCGAACGGCAGCACAGCAGAGCUUGCUCUGUGGGUGGCGAGUGGCGGACGGGUGAGGAAUACAUGGGAAUCUGCCCAGUCGUGGGGGAUAACGUAGGGAAACUUACGCUAAUACCGCAUGCGCCCUUCGGGGGAAAGCCGGGGACCGUAAGGCCUGGCGCGAUUGGAUGAGCCCAUGUCGGAUUAGCUAGUUGGCGGGGUAAAGGCCCACCAAGGCGACGAUCCGUAGCUGGUCUGAGAGGAUGAUCAGCCACACUGGAACUGAGACACGGUCCAGACUCCUACGGGAGGCAGCAGUAGGAAUAUUGGACAAUGGGCGCAAGCCUGAUCCAGCCAUGCCGCGUGAGUGAUGAAGGCCUUAGGGUUGUAAAGCUCUUUCAGUAGGGACGAUAAUGACGGUACCUACAGAAGAAGCCCCGGCUAACUUCGUG